RNAcentral lists this long non-coding RNA (971 nucleotides) under Homo sapiens (human). RNAcentral describes it as "HSALNT0331537". Lineage: Eukaryota; Metazoa; Chordata; Mammalia; Primates; Hominidae. The record is from RNAcentral.
GACUCCUGAUAUCAAGUGAUCUUCCCGCCUCGGCCUCCCAGAGUGCUGAGAUUACAGACGUGAACCCAUGCCUGGCCAGGAAUUUUGUUUUUUAGGAAGGCUUUCUACUAAUGGAAUUCCUGGCCUUGAGAGGAUGUUACUUUAGAAGGAAAGGAUUUUUUUGUUAUUAAAAGAGCCACCUAAGCUGAAGAUUCCCUUGAGAACAAGUACUGUCCCUGGUUUCCCAGUGCUGGAAUAUAGAAAAUGGAUGGACAACUGGACCUACCAUGAAAGACUUCUGAAUCCAGGAAGAGAAACUGACUGGGCAACAUGUUAUUCAGAUGGGGUCUUCUUAUGUUGCCCAGGUUGGUCUCAAAUUCCUAGGCUCAAGUGAUUCCGCCCACCUCUGCCUCCCAAAGUGCUGGGAUUACGGGCAUGAGCCAGCGCAUCUGGCCACCUUAUUUUCUAUUACUGGCUCAAUGUAAUGGCUCCAUCUCAGGAACAGCCAAUGAAAGAGAUGCACAGGACAAGGUGGACAGUCUAGUUGCAGGAAAACAAGCUCAGAGAUCCCACUGAGUCUACGUUAUACUGGAUCUACCAUGAAAGACUUGUGAAUCCAGGAAGAGAGACUGACUGGGCAACAUGUUAUUCAGGUGGGAACAUCCAGUUGCGGGAAAACAAGCUUAACACGCCCACUGAUUCUACAUUAUGCUCCUACCUCCCGGCAGCCUCUCCAGGCCCAGAACUUUCUCCAGUCAGCCUCUACAGACCAAGCUCAUGACUCACAAUGGCCUAUUUAGGCCCAUACCCUACGUCACGGCAGCCUCCGCAGAUGAGCCUACUGCCUCACAACAGCCUCCACAGGCACAGCUCCAUCGUUACAAUGGCCUCUUUAGACCCAGCUCCUGCCUCCCAGCCUUCUCUCCAGGCUCUGAACUUUCUCAGGUCUCCCUCUGUUGUCCAAGGCUGGAGUGUAGUAGUGCUAUCGCAGC